CUACCGGGGUAUCUAAUCCUGUUUGCUCCCCACGCUUUCGCGCCUCAGCGUCAGUUUCGGACCAGUUGGCCGCCUUCGCCACCGGUGUUCUUGCGAAUAUCUACGAAUUUCACCUCUACACUCGCAGUUCCACCAACCUCUUCCGAACUCAAGACUCCCAGUAUCGAAGGCAAUUCCAGGGUUGAGCCCUGGGCUUUCACCUCCGACUUAAAAGUCCGCCUACGCGCCCUUUACGCCCAGUGAUUCCGAGCAACGCUAGCCCCCUUCGUAUUACCGCGGCUGCUGGCAC
This 289-nucleotide ribosomal RNA is filed under the name uncultured Allobosea sp. RNAcentral describes it as "uncultured Bosea sp. partial 16S ribosomal RNA". Lineage: Bacteria; Pseudomonadati; Pseudomonadota; Alphaproteobacteria; Hyphomicrobiales; Alloboseaceae. The record is from RNAcentral.